CGGCAGCACGGGAGCAAUCCUGGUGGCGAGUGGCGAACGGGUGAGUAAUAUAUCGGAACGUGCCCAGUCGUGGGGGAUAACGCAGCGAAAGCUGUGCUAAUACCGCAUACGAUCUCUGGAUGAAAGCGGGGGACUCGUAAGAGCCUCGCGCGAUUGGAGCGGCCGAUAUCAGAUUAGCUAGUUGGUGGGGUAAAGGCCCACCAAGGCGACGAUCUGUAGCUGGUCUGAGAGGACGACCAGCCACACUGGAACUGAGACACGGUCCAGACUCCUACGGGAGGCAGCAGUGGGGAAUUUUGGAUAAUGGGCGCAAGCCUGAUCCAGCAAUGCCGCGUGCAGGAUGAAGGCCUUCGGGUUGUAAACUGCUUUUGUACGGAACGAAAAGGUCUGCCUUAAUACGGUGGGCCCAUGACGGUACCGUAAGAAUAAGCACCGGCUAACUACGUGCCAGCAGCCGCGGUAAUACGUAGGGUGCGAGCGUUAAUCGGAAUUACUGGGCGUAAAGCGUGCGCAGGCGGUUAUAUAAGACAGAUGUGAAAUCCCCGGGCUCAACCUGGGACCUGCAUUUGUGACUGUAUAGCUAGAGUACGGUAGAAGGGGGGAUGGAAUUCCGCGUGUAGCAGUGAAAUGCGUAGAUAUGCGGAGGAACACCGNAUGGCGAAGGCAAUCCCCUGGACCUGUACUGACGCUCAUGCACG
Molecule: ribosomal RNA, 698 nt
Filed under: uncultured bacterium
Lineage: Bacteria
Description: bacterial SSU rRNA
Rfam family: Bacterial small subunit ribosomal RNA
Source: RNAcentral